GUUUUUUUAGCCGAGUGGUUAGGGCGUGUGCCUGCUAAGUACAUGCGUUUUCCCAACGAAAGUCCAAAUCUCUCAAGCAAAG
This is a non-coding RNA of Ipomoea nil (Japanese morning glory), 82 nucleotides long. The record is from Rfam. Lineage: Eukaryota; Viridiplantae; Streptophyta; Magnoliopsida; Solanales; Convolvulaceae.